CAUGACGACAGGGAUCAUUCUCGUAGUAGGCGCGCGCAUGGGCAAGGCGGUGUAACCGCCGGGCGACAGCACCCCAUGCGCGACAGACAGGCUCCUCCGGGGGCCUUUUUUAUUGCUCGAA
RNAcentral lists this small RNA (121 nucleotides) under Aquibium oceanicum. RNAcentral's name for it is "Mesorhizobium sp. B7 Rhizobiales sRNA Atu_C8". It matches the Rfam family "Rhizobiales sRNA Atu_C8". Lineage: Bacteria; Pseudomonadati; Pseudomonadota; Alphaproteobacteria; Hyphomicrobiales; Phyllobacteriaceae. The record is from Rfam by way of RNAcentral.